GGUUUGAUUAUAUUCAGAUUGAAUUGGCGGAUGCUUUCAUACAUGCAAGUCGAACGGCAGCACGGACUUCGGUCUGGUGGGCGAGUGGCGAACGGUGAGUAAUGACGGAACGUAUUUCAGUAGCGGGAUAAUCAUUACAGCAGUAGCUAAUACCGCACAAUACCCUUCGGGGAAAGCGGGGACCUUCGGCCUGCACUAUUAGAGCGGCUGAUAUCGGAUUAGCUAGUUACAGGGUGCACUGCAUUCAUCAAGGCGACGAUCCGUGUAGCUGGUUUGAGAGGACGACCAGCCACACUGGGACUGAGACACGGCCCAGACUCCUACGGAUAGGCAGGGAAUUCUGGACAAUGGGAAAACCCUGAUCCAGCCAUCCUGGCGUGUGCGAUACGCCCGGUUGCAAAAGCACUUUGGCAGGAAAGAAACGGUACGGGAGCACACCCUGCCAGCAACUGACGAUACCCGCAGAAUAAGCACCAUGACCACAUGCGCCAGCAGCUGCGGUGGUACGGUAGGGUGUUAUAACGGGAAUUACUGGCGAAGCGCAGGCGGUUCGGAAAGAAAGAGCGAAAUCCCAGAGCUUAACUUUGAACUGCAGUAUUUUUAACUACCGAGCUAGAGUGUGUCAGAGGAGGGACUCCGCGUGUGUAGUAGUGAAAUGUGUAGAUAUGGAGGAACACCGACAUGAAGGCAGCCUCCUGUGGUUAACAUCGACGCCCGCGCAUCGAAAGGUGGAGCAACAGAUUAGAUACCCUGGUAGGGUUCACGCCCCAAACGAUGUCAACUAGCUGUUAAACCAUUUUGUGAUGCAGCUAACGUGCGAAGUUGACCGCUCGGGAGUAUUUGGUCGCAGAUUAACUCAAAGGAAUUGACGGGGACCCCGCACAAGCGGUGAUGAUGUGAUUAAUCUGAUGCAACGCGAAAAACCUUACCUACCUUGACAUGUUCGGAAUCCCGAAGAGAUUUGGGGAGUGCCCAAAAGAGAACUGGAACAUGCGGUGCUGUAUGUAUUGAAAUGUCAGCUCAUGUGUCGUGAGAUGUUGGUUAAGUCCCGCAACGAGCAACCCCUUUGAAAGCCAUUAUUAUUGCUACGAAAGGGCACUCUAAUGAGACUGCCGUAGACAAACCGAGGAAGGUGGGGAUGAUGUCAAGUCCCUUAUAGCCCUUAUGGUAGGGCUUCACACGUCGAAGCGGCCAAUGGUCGGGACAGAGGGUCGCCAACCUGCGAGGGAGCCAUCCCAGAAACCUGAUCGUAGUCCGAUCGCAGUUCGCAACUGACUGCGUGAAGUCGGAAUCGCGCAGUAAUCGCGGAUCAAAGGCUGUCGCGGUAAUACGUUCCCGGGUCUUGCACACACCGCCCGUCACACCAUGGGAGUGGGUUUUACCAGAAGUAGUUAGCCCAACUGCAAGGAGGGUUAUGAUUAUCACGGCAGGAUUCAUGACUGGGGUGGUUGCAACAUAG
RNAcentral lists this ribosomal RNA (1459 nucleotides) under uncultured Bordetella sp. RNAcentral's name for it is "partial 16S-23S ribosomal RNA intergenic spacer". It matches the Rfam family "Bacterial small subunit ribosomal RNA". The record is from RNAcentral. Lineage: Bacteria; Pseudomonadati; Pseudomonadota; Betaproteobacteria; Burkholderiales; Alcaligenaceae.